RNAcentral lists this ribosomal RNA (380 nucleotides) under uncultured eukaryote. RNAcentral describes it as "partial 18S ribosomal RNA". It matches the Rfam family "Eukaryotic small subunit ribosomal RNA", at positions 592 to 976 of the family's 1831-position model. The record is from RNAcentral.
CAAUAGCGUAUAUUAAAGGUGUUGCGGUUAAAAAGCUCGUAGUUGGAUUUCUGCCGAGGACGACCGGUCCGCCCUCCGGGUGAGUAUCUGGCUCGGCCUGGGCAUCUUCUUGGAGAACGUAGCUGCACUUGGCUGUGUGGUGCGGUAUUCAGGACUUUUACUUUGAGGAAAUUAGAGUGUUUCAAGCAGGCACACGCCUUGAAUACAUUAGCAUGGAAUAAUAAGAUAGGACCUCGGUUCUAUUUUGUUGGUUUCUAGAUCUGAGGUAAUGAUUAAUAGGGAUAGUUGGGGGCAUUCGUAUUUAACUGUCAGAGGUGAAAUUCUUGGAUUUAUGAAAGACGAACUACUGCGAAAGCAUUUGCCAAGGAUGUUUUCAUUAA